GGAAGUAAAAGUCGAAACAAGGUUUCCGUAGGUGAACCUGCGGAAGGAUCAUUAUUGUAUAACCGAGGUGCGAGGGCUGUCGCUGACCCGAAAGGUCGUGCACGCCCGAGUGCCCUCACACACAUCCAUCUCACCCCUAUGUGCACCACCGCGUGGGUCCCCCUUUGGCUUGUUCGGAGGGGGGCUUACGUUUUCACACAAACUUUGUAUGCAGUGUAGAAUGUAUUUUUUGUUUUUGCGAUCACGCAAUCAAUACGACUUUCAACAACGGAUCUCUUGGCUCUC
Molecule: unclassified non-coding RNA, 285 nt
Filed under: plant metagenome
Description: partial contains small subunit ribosomal RNA, internal transcribed spacer 1, and 5.8S ribosomal RNA
Rfam family: Eukaryotic small subunit ribosomal RNA (bases 1-54)
Source: RNAcentral